AGUGAACGCUGGCGGUAGGCCUAACACAUGCAAGUCGAGCGGCAGCACAGAGGAGCUUGCUCCUUGGGUGGCGAGUGGCGGACGGGUGAGGAAUACAUCGGAAUCUACUCUGUCGUGGGGGAUAACGUAGGGAAACUUACGCUAAUACCGCAUACGACCUACGGGUGAAAGCAGGGGAUCUUCGGACCUUGCGCGAAUAAAUGAGCCGAUGUCGGAUUAGCUAGUUGGCGGGGUAAAGGGCCACCAAGGCGACGAUCCGUAGCUGGUCUGAGAGGAUGAUCAGCCAAACUGGAACUGAGACACGGUCCAGACUCCUACGGGAGGCAGCAGUGGGGAAUAUUGGACAAUGGGCGCAAGCCUGAUCCAGCCAUACCGCGUGGGUGAAGAAGGCCUUCGGGUUGUAAAGCCCUUUUGUUGGGAAAGAAAUCCAUCUGGUUAAUACCCGGGUGGGAUGACGGUACCCAAAGAAUAAGCACCGGCUAACUUCGUGCCAGCCGCCGCAGUAA
RNAcentral lists this ribosomal RNA (506 nucleotides) under uncultured bacterium. RNAcentral describes it as "partial 16S ribosomal RNA". It matches the Rfam family "Bacterial small subunit ribosomal RNA", at positions 29 to 523 of the family's 1533-position model. The record is from RNAcentral.